Long non-coding RNA from Rana temporaria (common frog), 565 nucleotides. RefSeq lists it as uncharacterized. The transcript has 2 exons. The record is from RefSeq and is a predicted model, not a curated record. NCBI's taxonomy places the organism in Eukaryota, Metazoa, Chordata, Amphibia, Anura, Ranidae.
ACAGGUUGCGAUGUGUGAUAUAAAGUGCGGGGAGUUGUGCGCGGCUCUGAUAUCGGUGGCUGGGAGCGGACGGAGCGCACCGUGGAAUAUAACGUUGGCGGUUUGAUCGUCUUUCCACCCAUCACACCUAACAAUGAGGUGGCUGUGGACUCUUCUCCUUGUUGGGUUAUCCGUGGCCUUCAUCUCAGCGCUGGCCCUUCCGGAGGAGGAGGAGGACAGACAAAGAUGUUGUGUUUUUGGAGGUUGCUCAGGCUGUUGGUGUCGCACCAAAAACAUCUGGGAACUGGGAGAUUAUGGUAAUCUCCACCCAGGAACCAGUGCUUCAAUAUUUUCCAUAGAUUGCAUUAUCUGCAAAGAUAGAAAUUGCUGAAGAAACUGGACAAACGCCAUCAACAAACAACGGAAUUGAAGCCACAAUUUUUGCGCCCAAAGAUUUGCGCAAAUCUUCUUUUUCCUGGUGAUCGCCGGUCCACCCCCCGGAGUUUGUCUCGUCUCUGGACUCUCACUUGUUAUUAUCUGAUAUUCCUGAUGUUACACAUUAAAGUAUAAUUUGCUGAACCCCCAA